Molecule: ribosomal RNA, 253 nt
Filed under: uncultured bacterium
Lineage: Bacteria
Description: partial 16S ribosomal RNA
Rfam family: Bacterial small subunit ribosomal RNA
Source: RNAcentral
UACGGAGGGGGCUAGCGUUGUUCGGAAUUACUGGGCGUAAAGCGCACGUAGGCGGCUUUGCAAGUUAGAGGUGAAAGCCCAGGGCUUAACCCUGGAAUUGCCUUUAAAACUGCAUCGCUAGAAUUGUGGAGAGGUAAGUGGAAUUCCGAGUGUAGAGGUGAAAUUCGUAGAUAUUCGGAAGAACACCGGUGGCGAAGGCGGCUAUCUGGACCGUAACUGACGCUGAGGCGCGAAAGCGUGGGGAGCAAACAGG